CGCUGAACUUAAGCAUAUCAAUAAGCGGAGGAAAAGAAACCAACAGGGAUUGCCCUAGUAACGGCGAGUGAAGCGGCAACAGCUCAAAUUUGAAAUCUGGCUUCGGCCCGAGUUGUAAUUUGCAGAGGAUGUUUCUGGCGCGGUGCCUUCCGAGUUCCCUGGAACGGGACGCCACAGAGGGUGAGAGCCCCGUAUGGUUGGACACCAAGCCUGUGUGAAACUCCUUCGACGAGUCGAGUAGUUUGGGAAUGCUGCUCUAAAUGGGAGGUAAAUCUCUUCUAAAGCUAAAUACCGGCCAGAGACCGAUAGCGCACAAGUAGAGUGAUCGAAAGAUGAAAAGCACCUUGAAAAGGGGGUUAAAUAGUACGUGAAAUUGUUGAAAGGGAAGCACUUAU
RNAcentral lists this ribosomal RNA (395 nucleotides) under Diaporthe leucospermi. Its description in RNAcentral is "eukaryotic LSU rRNA". It matches the Rfam family "Eukaryotic large subunit ribosomal RNA", at positions 26 to 426 of the family's 3401-position model. Lineage: Eukaryota; Fungi; Ascomycota; Sordariomycetes; Diaporthales; Diaporthaceae. The record is from RNAcentral.